AUACACAGUUGCAGACUGACAGAAUCACCUUCUACUGUGGGUUCCUUUUUGGUGUCGUCGUGUUCUUCCUUAUUGAUCAAGCACUGCGCAACCCUUCCCCCCUUGUGAGUGUUUAAAGAUUCCCAGGUGAGAUCUCGGACACAGUGCAGGACCACAGUCAUUGCAUGCAACAUGUUUUCGCAUCAGAUCAGAUAUAGCAAGGAGACAGGAUUAACGUAAACUAAAAGUCAAUGUGGAGAAGCAUUAAUUUGUAAGGAAGACGAACGGUGACGAUGUCUCGGUAUCUGGAAGAUAGACGAAGCUGAAGUACCGGUGCUAGAGCUGACAGCAAGAUACAAGAUGGUUCACCCUCUAAAAAAUGUUUGGUGUUUGAAAUAUUAUAAAGGUGAACCAUCUUGUAUAAUACAAUCUUUGAAAUUGUGGGAUUUGACAAAACAAGUUCUGUCGUCAGUUCUUGAAAGGUCUGUUCGCUGCAAUUACCUUGCUUGUAGACUGCCUAUAAAAAAAUAUUUUUU
This is a long non-coding RNA of Aplysia californica (California sea hare), 515 nucleotides long. RefSeq lists it as uncharacterized. The transcript is spliced from 2 exons. NCBI's taxonomy places the organism in Eukaryota, Metazoa, Mollusca, Gastropoda, Aplysiida, Aplysiidae. The record is from RefSeq and is a predicted model, not a curated record.